UACAUGGGGUGCAAACGUUGCUCGGAAUUAUUGGGCGUAAAGCGCACGUAGGCGGUUCGUUAAGUCGGAUGUGAAAGCCCUCGGCUCAACUGAGGAAGUGCACCCGAAACUGGCGAGCUUGAGUACGAAAGAGGAUCGCGGAAUUCCCGGUGUAGAGGUGAAAUUCGUAGAUAUCGGGAGGAACACCGGUGGCGAAGGCGGCGAUCUGGGAAGAUACUGACGCUGAGGUGCGAAAGCGUGGGGAGCAAACAGG
RNAcentral lists this ribosomal RNA (253 nucleotides) under uncultured bacterium. Its description in RNAcentral is "partial 16S ribosomal RNA". It matches the Rfam family "Bacterial small subunit ribosomal RNA", at positions 524 to 776 of the family's 1533-position model. The record is from RNAcentral.